UACAUAGUCACAAUUGUAUAAACGCUCACUUUACAAAAAUAGUCAUUUUUGCAAAUCCGGCAAAAUGGCCAGAUUCACAAAGAUAUUAUCACAGCAUUCCUAGAAGCAUAUGUUGGCAGUGAAAUUUCAGCAACUAAAACGAACUCAUGCUAUGUGUUAUACACCUAAAGUCAUUCAUGGCAUAAUUAGCAUUGUUACUCGAAUAUAAUAGCUGAAAAACAUGCUUAAAAAAUCCAUAAACGACUUACAUAUCUCAUUCAAAAACUUACAACUCAAUAUUCAAGUAUUAUGAAGGACUAUAUUCACAUUAUCAUAUGCUUGAUACAUAACAAUAACAUACAAGCUCUUUUGUUGUCAAACUAUUCAUCACAUCAAACACAUUUAAAUGGUGCAGCAUGUUCAAGUUGUUCCCAUUGCUAAAAAUACGUAUAUUACGAGUCUUAAAAGAUUACCUGGUAGCAAAAGAAUAAACAGUAGUUCGUCAACUAAAGCAGCAUAAAAAUAGCAGCAAAACCAGCAGCAAAUCCGUGUUAAAACAACCUGAAAACUUAGAGAGGGGAUCCAGAAACGAACUCUAAAGAGGACUUAUACUUUUUUAAAAUUUUGCACUCUAAGAUUCACUCCCAAAGCUCACCAUUUCAGCUUAAUUUUCA
Molecule: long non-coding RNA, 653 nt
Filed under: Nicotiana tabacum (common tobacco)
Lineage: Eukaryota; Viridiplantae; Streptophyta; Magnoliopsida; Solanales; Solanaceae
Description: long non-coding RNA (NTAB_LNC006341)
Source: RNAcentral